CCUACGGGUGGCAGCAGUGGGGAAUAUUGCGCAAUGGGCGAAAGCCUGACGCAGCGACGCCGCGUGAGGGAUGAAGGUCUUCGGAUCGUAAACCUCUGUCAGCAGGGAAGAACGGUCACUGUGCUAAUCAGCAGUGAAUUGACGGUACCUGCAAAGGAAGCACCGGCUAACUCCGUGCCAGCAGCCGCGGUAAUACGGAGGGUGCGAGCGUUAAUCGGAAUUACUGGGCGUAAAGCGCACGUAGGCGGUAUGUCAAGUCAAGGGUGAAAUCCCCGGGCUCAACGUGGGAACUGCCUUUGAAACUGGCAGACUGGAGUGUGUGAGAGGAUAGUGGAACUCCAGGUGUAGGAGUGAAAUCCGUAGAUAUCUGGAGGAACAUCAGUGGCGAAGGCGACUAUCUGGCACAUAACUGACGCUGAGGAGCGAAAGCGUGGGUAGCAAACAGGAUUAGAUACCCGAGUAGUC
RNAcentral lists this ribosomal RNA (465 nucleotides) under uncultured bacterium. RNAcentral's name for it is "partial 16S ribosomal RNA". It matches the Rfam family "Bacterial small subunit ribosomal RNA", at positions 338 to 795 of the family's 1533-position model. The record is from RNAcentral.